Molecule: ribosomal RNA, 434 nt
Filed under: uncultured Roseburia sp.
Lineage: Bacteria; Bacillati; Bacillota; Clostridia; Lachnospirales; Lachnospiraceae
Description: partial 16S ribosomal RNA
Rfam family: Bacterial small subunit ribosomal RNA
Source: RNAcentral
ACGGAAGGCAGCAGUGGGGAAUAUUGCACAAUGGGCGAAAGCCUGAUGCAGCGACGCCGCGUGAGUGAUGAAGUAUUUCGGUAUGUAAAGCUCUAUCAGCAGGGAAGAUAAUGACGGUACCUGACUAAGAAGCACCGGCUAAAUACGUGCCAGCAGCCGCGGUAAUACGUAUGGUGCAAGCGUUAUCCGGAUUUACUGGGUGUAAAGGGAGCGCAGGCGGUACGGCAAGUCUGAUGUGAAAGCCCGGGGCUCAACCCCGGUACUGCAUUGGAAACUGUCGAACUAGAGUGUCGGAGGGGUAAGUGGAAUUCCUAGUGUAGCGGUGAAAUGCAUAGAUAUUAGGAGGAACACCAGUGGCGAAGGCGACUUACUGGACGAUAACUGACGCUGAGGCUCGAAAGCGUGGGGAGCAAACAGGAUUAGAUACCCUGGUA